This 505-nucleotide ribosomal RNA is filed under the name uncultured bacterium. RNAcentral describes it as "partial 16S ribosomal RNA". It matches the Rfam family "Bacterial small subunit ribosomal RNA", at positions 28 to 507 of the family's 1533-position model. The record is from RNAcentral.
GACGAACGCUGGCGGCGUGCCUAAUACAUGCGAGUAGAACGCACAGUUUAUACCGUAGCUUGCUACACCAUAGACUGUGAGUUGCGAACGGGUGAGUAACGCGUAGGUAACCUGCCUGGUAGCGGGGGAUAACUAUUGGAAACGAUAGCUAAUACCGCAUAAUAUUGAUUAUUGCAUGAUAAUUGAUUGAAAGAUGCUAUUGCAUCACUACCAGAUGGACCUGCGUUGUAUUAGCUAGUAGGUGAGGUAACGGCUCACCUAGGCGACGAUACAUAGCCGACCUGAGAGGGUGAUCGGCCACACUGGGACUGGGACACGGCCCAGACUCCUACGGGAGGCAGCAGUAGGGAAUCUUCGGCAAUGGACGAAAGUCUGACCGAGCAACGCCGCGGGAGUGAAGAAGGGUGUCGGAUCGUAAAGCUCUGUUGUAAGAGAAGAACGGGUGUGAGAGUGGAAAGUUCACACUGUGACGGUAUCUUACCAGAAAGGGACGGCUAACUACGUG